CGGGAUAUUUUUUGAAUGAAUGAAAAGCAACGCAAGCAACAAUGUCAUCGAGUAAAAGACGUCAACAGUUGUCGAUCGCUAGAGAAAGUAAAAUAGGUGAUAUAAGUAAUGAAUUGCCCUGUGCCGUGUCUGCGUCUGAACGGAAGCUUUCAAUGGGAAACCUGGGGGGUGAUAUUCAGAAAGAUGAAGCGCAAACCGGUGCCACACAGUAGUGGCUGCUUGUGCAUGUCGGCUGCUUAAAUUACCUAAUACAAGAUUUGCUCUGUCCAAAUUGUGCUGGGUCAGGGCUUGAAAUCCACAUAGAUCCCCAGAAUUAUGGAUUCUGUAGUAAUCUAUCGCUAGAGUGCUGUCUUUGUAAAGGGGAUCCGUACCGUACGAGCGUGUACACGUCGACGCGACUUCAGGAGGAGACCAGAAGUGAUGUCGCGUUUGACGUGAAUGUGCGAAUGGUCCUGUUGGCACAUGAGCUAGGGAUGGGCUAUGCAGCGCUGAAAAAGAUCAGCAAGGUGUUGGGGAUCCCUGCCCUUCAUCUUAGAACUUAUCAGAGGCAUGAUAAAAGAGUGACAGUGUGGUAGAAAUUAACCUUACAUUCUAUGUUAAACUAUGAUUAUUAUUAGGCCUACAUAUCAUAUAUACUUUAAUGGUGGAGAAGAGCUGAUCACCUCUAACCUAGAUGUUGUGUGCUGUGUGACACCAGUGAGUGGGUCCAGGAUAUUCUCACCUGAUGGGCCAUGUGAUACAUCAGUCAGAGAGUCCAGUCUACUCCCAUAUUGAUGUACUCUCUGAAGACAUAUUGAUGUACUCUCUGAAGACAAUGCUUACAUUCACACCUGUGCAUCAUCUCUGUUUGUAUAAGGAUAAUAUAUGUUCUAAGGUCACAUUGGGAUUCAGAAGACAUAGGAGUAUGCUGACAUCCACACAGUAUGACCCUGAUGGGAAAUUCUAUAUUUGAUGAAAGUCCAACUUUGUAUUGUGUAAGAAUUGGGGAUAUAAGGAGCUGUCCGGGAUUCAUUCGGUAGUGUGUAUUCGCGAAUACCAUUCAGCUUUGUUGUCUCUCGUUUGCGGGUGGCAAUAAACUCUCCAUCUAUACUUGACCUGGACUCCCCGAUUCCUCUUGCUUUUUAGCUAGUUGAAGUGAAUUAGAUAAGUUAUUAUUAAUUCUACAACAACAGGUAUGGAUACAGGAUUGUGUCAGAAAAGUUUAAGCAGUUUGUAGAAUUUCUAAUGACAGAGAUAGCCUAAUGAGUGUAGUGGUUAGCACCUUGUGACAUAAUUUUAUGACAUUUCUGUAACAGUAUUUGUUUUCUAUGGUUGGAAUAAGGAUGGAUUUAUAAGAAUAGAACAAACAGUCAUCUCAUUCAUUAUGUUGUGUUGGUCAGUUUUACUUUUACAGUUAAGAUUUCGAUUCAGUGGCAAAAACAAAGAAUAUAAACCUUCUAAUCAAAUUAGUACAUGGCAGGACAUUGAAGUGAAUUAUUUUCCAUCUGAUAGCUUUACCUUAUGACAACAUUAGUUCACUGGCCAAACCUAGGCCCAUAGUUGCACACAGGGAGGGAG
Gadus morhua (Atlantic cod) is the source of this 1557-nucleotide long non-coding RNA. The record is from Ensembl. Lineage: Eukaryota; Metazoa; Chordata; Actinopteri; Gadiformes; Gadidae.